UACGGGGGGGGCAAGCGUUGUUCGGAAUUACUGGGCGUAAAGGGCUCGUAGGCGGCCAACUAAGUCAUGCGUGAAAUCCCUCGGCUUAACCGGGGAACUGCGUCUGAUACUGGAUGGCUUGAGUUCGGGAGAGGGAUGCGGAAUUCCAGGUGUAGCGGUGAAAUGCGUAGAUAUCUGGAGGAACACCUAUUGCGAAGGCAGCUCGCUGGGACGUAACUGACGCUGAGACGCGAAAGCGUGGGGAGCAAACAGG
RNAcentral lists this ribosomal RNA (253 nucleotides) under uncultured bacterium. RNAcentral describes it as "partial 16S ribosomal RNA". It matches the Rfam family "Bacterial small subunit ribosomal RNA", at positions 524 to 776 of the family's 1533-position model. The record is from RNAcentral.